This 468-nucleotide ribosomal RNA is filed under the name uncultured bacterium. RNAcentral's name for it is "partial 16S ribosomal RNA". It matches the Rfam family "Bacterial small subunit ribosomal RNA", at positions 28 to 507 of the family's 1533-position model. The record is from RNAcentral.
GACGAACGCUGGCGGCGUGCUUAACACAUGCAAGUCGAACGGAAAGUCCCUGCUGUUGUGGGGUGCUCGAGUGGCGAACGGGUGAGUAACACGUGAGUAACCUGCCCGUUAAUUUGGGAUAACUUCAGGAAACUGGGGCGAAUACCGGAUAGGAGCUCCUGCUGCAUGGUGUGGGUUGGAAAGUUUCGGCGGUUGGGGAUGGACUCGCGGCUUAUCAGCUUGUUGGUGGGGUAGUGGCUUACCAAGGCUUUGACGGGUAGCCGGCCUGAGAGGGUGACCGGCCACAUUGGGACUGCGAUACGGACCAGAAUCCUACGGGAGGCAGCAGUGGGGAAUAUUGCACAAUGGGCGGAAGCCUGAUGCAGCAACGCCGCGUGCGGGAUGACGGCCUUCGGGUUGUAAACCGCUUUCGCCUGUGACGAAGCGUGAGUGACGGUAAUGGGUAAAGAAGCAACGGCUAACUACGUG